This 162-nucleotide ribosomal RNA is filed under the name uncultured bacterium. RNAcentral's name for it is "partial 16S rRNA". It matches the Rfam family "Bacterial small subunit ribosomal RNA", at positions 357 to 511 of the family's 1533-position model. The record is from RNAcentral.
GGGAAUCUUCGGCAAUGGACGAAAGUCUGACCGAGCAACGCCGCGUGAGUGAAGAAGGUUUUCGGAUCGUAAAACUCUGUUGUUAGAGAAGAACAAGGGUGAGAGUAACUGUUCACCCCUUGACGGUAUCUAACCAGAAAGCCACGGCUAACUACGUGCCAG